Molecule: transfer RNA, 72 nt
Filed under: Fukomys damarensis (Damara mole-rat)
Lineage: Eukaryota; Metazoa; Chordata; Mammalia; Rodentia; Bathyergidae
Rfam family: tRNA
About the family: Transfer RNA (tRNA) molecules are approximately 80 nucleotides in length.
Source: Rfam by way of RNAcentral
GGGGAUACAGCUCAGUGAUAGAGUGCUUGCCUAGCAUGUAUGAGGUCUUGGGUUCAAUCCCUAGUACUGCCA